This 450-nucleotide ribosomal RNA is filed under the name uncultured bacterium. RNAcentral's name for it is "bacterial SSU rRNA". It matches the Rfam family "Bacterial small subunit ribosomal RNA", at positions 354 to 796 of the family's 1533-position model. The record is from RNAcentral.
GUGGGGAAUAUUGGACAAUGGGCGAAAGCCUGAUCCAGCCAUGCCGCGUGUGUGAAGAAGGUCUUCGGAUUGUAAAGCACUUUAAGUUGGGAGGAAGGGCAGUAAGUUAAUACCUUGCUGUUUUGACGUUACCAACAGAAUAAGCACCGGCUAACUUCGUGCCAGCAGCCGCGGUAAUACGAAGGGUGCAAGCGUUAAUCGGAAUUACUGGGCGUAAAGCGCGCGUAGGUGGUUCAGCAAGUUGGAGGUGAAAUCCCCGGGAUCAACCUGGGAACUGCCUCCAAAACUACUGAGCUAGAGUACGGUAGAGGGUAGUGGAAUUUCCUGUGUAGCGGUGAAAUGCGUAGAUAUAGGAAGGAACACCAGUGGCGAAGGCGACUACCUGGACUGAUACUGACACUGAGGUGCGAAAGCGUGGGGAGCAAACAGGAUUAGAUACCCGAGUAGUCC